Alligator mississippiensis (American alligator) is the source of this 3888-nucleotide long non-coding RNA. RefSeq lists it as uncharacterized. The record is from RefSeq and is a predicted model, not a curated record. The transcript is spliced from 4 exons. NCBI's taxonomy places the organism in Eukaryota, Metazoa, Chordata, Crocodylia, Alligatoridae.
CUGAUGCAGGAUGACUUUCUACACGGCACUCUCCAGGAUGCUGACUGCACCAGCUUUAAAGAAAUCAGAAUAACAUGGAAAAACUAGCUAAAAUUCUUAUAAAGUUCCCUGAAAUUUUCCAGAUUCAUUGUCCACUUUUCACAGAAGCCCUGGACCCAGGAAAACAUACAAUUCAGGCUGCACAUGGGUGAAAAGACAAAUACUUAGAGGAGACAGACCAACAGACUGUGCUGACAACAUCUGCUGUGGAUUCCAGGCCCAGAUUUUCCUCAAACUAGAACACAUUCUGAACAGUGAUGUCGCAAAACUGGCUGACUACUUCAAGAUAUGGUGCCUCUAGCCAAGCAUCAGUGUAUAGAGUUCAACAACUUCACCUGAUAACCUUCAGUUGGCUUCAUUUACUCCCAAGUGUGUGGUCCUCUCCUUCCAGUUUCCCCCAAACUGUAGAAUUUUUGCAUGCUUGUAACUGCUUUUAAUGAUUACCCAGUUCAAGCAAUUACUCUAAUGUAUUGCAAGAAGACAAAACAAGGGCAGGCCUAAGAUGUACCUCUAUAGAGUAAACAGUACAGUACAAAGACCCAAUACUGCCUCACUUGAAAUCAAGGGAAAAUUACCCCAAUUUCAGAUUUGUGUUACUACAUUUCAAAAGUUUCCAUGUGACUGAAGGACUGUGAUAAACUUUAAAAAAAAAAAAAAAAAAGCCCCCCCCCCUCCUCCCUUGCCCAAAGUUUACUGCACAUCCAUUAGACUACUUCAAAAAACACACACUUGGAAGUGCAAUUGCCAUGAGUACAAACAUUCAAUGUUUUGUUUUUUACAAUCUUCUAACAAUGUUUUGGUAAACAGUGUAUUGUCCUGGGCGGUGGGAUCAGGGCUCCACUGCCUGUCCUGCAAACACACGCCUCCAGUUGGCUGGAAGUACUAGGGCUCCAGCCAUUUAACCAUUAAAAAAAAGAAUUGAUGGAUUAUUGAUACAGUACCAAGUAACUUGUGAUCCUAAGUCAUCCUUUCUGGGAUAUGAGCUGGCAAAUGGGACUACCUGACUGCUUCCACUCACUAGCUUGCAAAAUUCUUUAUAGAUUUUAGGAAAUCUAUGGGUUCAGAAGGGAAAAAUCAAAACACUAUUUCUUUUGCAGACAGCAGAUUGGGAGGACAGAGAGUGUUUCCUCUCCUCCCAUUGAAGAAUGUGAAGUUUUUCCUAAGGGGACACAGUGUCUAUGAUAUUCCAAGAGGAUUUUUUAUUUUAUUGGGGGGUUGCUCUAGGAAGGGAAUACUACAUUAAGGCUUGCAAGACCAUUGGAUAUUAUUAUUUAUGUAGCCAAGGCAAGCAACAACUGAACAACAGUAACUAAUAAAACAAACAAUUUGGAAGCUUGACAAAAAAAGCUAGCUGCCCUACAUAUGUACCUAUGAGAUUCUCAACUGCCUACCUCAAACUCUAACAGACUUUCUGAACCAGCUUUCUCUCAAAUGCAUAUGGCUCCAACCCAUUACUCAAAGUGACCAGGAUUAUUAGAAAUUAUCUUUAAGACAAGAGAACAGAGAAACAUUCUGCUUCUUUAUGGACCAUUGAAUGUAUCCAAGGUUUCUGGGACUUCACAUUUAUCAGCUGGAGGGCUUCUGGUCCUGCAUCCUAUAUUGAGCACAGGCAGCCUAAGUGCAUCUCACAGUCUAUUUUACACAUGCAUUUGGCCUCCACCGCCAAGUCAGAAAGCAGUGAUGCUACAUUUUGGUAUACAUAGGUGUGUGAUGUAAAUUUUGGGUAUGUUCGAGUACAUUUUUACUUCCAUUAGGAAACUUGCCCAUAGCCAGAAGUCAGUGCAGAGUGCUGAAGACAAGUUAACUGUGAGCAGAAGCAACAUGGCAGCAGACCUACAUAUAGCACUUGCUCACCUGCACCCGUGACAAUACGCAUUAAGAGAAAUUAAGCAAUAAUAAGUUUUCUUUGUGUGGAUGGAUCUCUGCUAGCCAGAGAGAGAACGAGGGCGGGCCUGGGGACAGAGGCUUCUCUGAUUCUUGUUCGUGACAGCCCAGGGGUGGGGCUGGCCCAGCACUCAAGCAGACCACAUGAGCUCUGGCCAAGGCUAGAGUGCCACUCUGGAGAUGGGGAGGGGGUGAGCAGGUGCCGCAAAGCCCCAUGGAUUGCUGAUGAAAUGCAACCUACCAUGAGUCAGGAUGGGAUGUAGUACAAAUGUUCAUUACAGUGCUCUAACCUACAGAACUGAAGUCUGAAGGUUAUCUUUGAGGAGUAGCCACCAUUUUGACAGUGCUCUAUAUGCCCUGACUGUUCAGUUAUAGCUGUAGAGAGCUUUCUGCAUGCUUACUGACAUAAAUGUAACUUUUUUACCUGGUCAAAAUUAUAACAUUGCCCCAAAACAGCAUAUUUGACUAAUUAUUCAACAGAGGAAAUGAGGAUGCUGUAAGUGGCUGUAAAUGGCUGCAUCUACAGAAACAUUCAUCUAUAUUAUCAUAAUUGAACUUACAUGUAAAUGUGGCAAGUGGAAAAGCAGCAGUGAACAUUGCUUUCACAAGCAAGGUGUACAAGGUGUCCCAUCAUCUCUCAUUUGCUUUUUUGUUUUGCUUUACUGGGGAAGUCUGAAUGUCUCACUAAAAAAAAAAAAAGUAUGAAGGACACAUCUGAAGUAAAUGGUAAAAUUAGACUCUCCCAGCUGGCACUCUAAGUUUGAGCUCUGUCAGAACCAAUGCUAACACAGUGCAAUAUUCAUAGUAAGGUAGCUGCCUCAUAUGCAUAGUCUGAAUCAUUCAUAGGGAAGCAGUAUGAUAGCCAGAUUAAGACUUGUAACACUUUGAAGGAACCAAAAAAACCCAAACAAACAAACAAAAUACCCAAAACAAAACAGUAAGAGUUUGCUUUGUUUAAUACUAGUAUCUUUUAGGACUGCAUGUUCUACUUUCUCCACUAAACAGCCUGGAAGGAGAUCAAUGACCCUUAAAGCUGCAUGAUCCUGGUAACGACUUUUCUGGGAGACAGUCAGCUACAGAGAGAAAGAGCACAGGACAAGGCUACCAAUAACCGGAGAGAACUACCAUGUAAAGAACUGGCCAAGUUCUGCCAGUCACAUGCUCUAUCAGGCACCAUAGAUGUUUGGCAGCAUAGCAGCUUGCAACUGUGUGUGCUGCUAUUGAUCCACUUCCCACUGACUAGCAGUACAUCACCAGGGACUGCUAAACAUUGAAGGCAACCAUGAUGAACUAAUUUACCAGUCCCCUCAUUCUCAUGAGAUUUACUUUCACUGCACCUUAAAUAUCUACAGAAGCUGAACAUGACAUUUUAGAUAUUUGUGAAUUUCUGAUAUUGGUGAUUGAAUAUAUAAAAAUACACAUUCAGCAACCUUAUUUUGGUAUAAGAUAUUCAGUAAAGUACUGGUGUUUUAGACAGUUUAAUUUGGCUUGGAGUCUGCUGGGUCAGCAGGAGAAACCAAUUACACAGCUGAGGUAGUCACUAGACAAUUAAAUCUAGGGAUUGCUGGCUUGGCUGUCCCAGCUAAUCUCAACAGCUGCAGUUGUACACAAAAAGAAAAGCAAAUAGGCUUUCUAUCUGUAGAAUCAACCUAGCAGUAAAGAAAGCCAGUGCAGACCCUAAGGAACUGUGGGCUGUGCACCUUUGAUCAAAACAACUAACCAGUUGGACAUUUGCAUUCUGCACUAGUGGGAACUCUGCAGUGAUCUUCAAAGGCAGACUUUUAUUUAGAAGCCAUAAAAGGAUGAAUAACAAAGUGUUAGCUCAAUACCUGUCCUUAUCUUUAAAAGACCUCAGGAAUAUAACAUUGUAAUAUUCAAGUCUUCAUAUUGAUUUCACUUAACCUAUUUUAAUAUGUUUUAAUGUUUAUUGUAGUUAGGAUCUUAAUAAAACUGACCUGAGCUUCA